ACGUGAUCUGAGUUCAGACCGGAGCAAUCCAGGUCAGUUUCUAUCUAUAAGGAGGUUUUUCCAGUACGAAAGGAUAGAAAAAACAUGGCCUAUAUAACAACAAGCCAUCGCUAUUAAAUUUUGACCCCCAUCUCAAAAUAUACACAGCCCCCCACCCAGCCUAAAAUAAAGGCA
Molecule: ribosomal RNA, 174 nt
Filed under: Stefania scalae
Lineage: Eukaryota; Metazoa; Chordata; Amphibia; Anura; Hemiphractidae
Description: 16S ribosomal RNA
Source: RNAcentral